CCCUUAGAUGUCCGGGGCUGCACGCGCGCUACACUGAUGCAUUCAACAAGCCUAGCCUUGACCGAGAGGUCCGGGUAAUCUUUGAAACUGCAUCGUGAUGGGGCUAGAUUAUUGCAAUUAUUAAUCUUCAACGAGGAAUGCCUAGUAAGCGUGAUUCAUCAAAUCGCGUUGAUUACGUCCCUGCCCUUUGUACACACCGCCCGUCGCUCCUACCGAUUGAAUGUGUUGGUGAGGAGCUCGGAUUGGCAGCAGUUGGUGGUUCGCCACCGGCUAUUGCUGAGAAGUCCUCCAAACCGCCCCAUUUAGAGGAAGGAGAAGUCGUAACA
RNAcentral lists this ribosomal RNA (326 nucleotides) under uncultured eukaryote. RNAcentral's name for it is "partial 18S ribosomal RNA". It matches the Rfam family "Eukaryotic small subunit ribosomal RNA", at positions 1470 to 1796 of the family's 1831-position model. The record is from RNAcentral.